RNAcentral lists this ribosomal RNA (658 nucleotides) under uncultured bacterium. Its description in RNAcentral is "bacterial SSU rRNA". It matches the Rfam family "Bacterial small subunit ribosomal RNA", at positions 800 to 1470 of the family's 1533-position model. The record is from RNAcentral.
CCGUAAACGGUGGAACUAGUUGAGGGGGCCAUUCCACGGCUUCUGUGACGAAGCUAACGCAAGUUCCCCGCCUGGGGAGUACGGCCGCAAGGCUAAACUCAAAGGAAUUGACGGGGGCCCGCACAAGCGGCGGAGCAUGCGGAUUAAUUCGAUGCAACGCGAAGAACCUUACCAAGGCUUGACAUAUACAGGAAACGGCAGAAAUGUACGCCCCGCAAGGUCUGUAUACAGGUGGUGCAUUGUCGUCAGCUCGUGUCGUGAGAUGUUGGGUUAAGUCCCGCAACGAGCGCAACCCUCGUCCUAUUUGCCAGCACGUAAUGGUGGGAACUCAUGGGAGACUGCCGGGGUCAACUCGGAGGAAGGUGGGGAUGACGUCAAAUCAUCAUGCCCCUUAUGUCUUGGGCUUCACGCAUGCUACAAUGGGUGGUACAAAGGGUUGCGAUACCGCAAGGUGGAGCUAAUCCCAAAAAGCCAUUCUCAGUUCGGAUUGGGGUCUGCAACUCGACCCCAUGAAGUUGGAGUCGCUAGUAAUCGCAGAUCAGCAACGCUGCGGUGAAUACGUUCCCGGGCCUUGUACACACCGCCCGUCAAGUCAUGAAAGUCGGUAACACCCGAAGCUGGCCUAACCUUUUGGAGGGAGCCGUCGAAGGUGGGUUCU